GAAACGCUCCACCCAGCAUUGUUCUGUUAAAACAGGAACAUAAUCAUAACCUGCAUAUUCAUAGAUACGCAGGGAUAUUCGAUUACGUACGCCAUUUUAUCGGGACAUGUAAACACUGAAUUGUAUUCGACUGUUUGUGUGCAGUAUGUCGGAAUUUGGUUUGUAUCAGGUACGACCAUCGACUUUACGUUUCACACACGACAGCGUUAGCUGUAGGUUCAGUAAUGGACUUUCAUUGGAAGAGACCUUCCGGCAGUUUCUAUACGAUGAGUUGGAUGUCGAUGAUAUGCCAUGUCUGGUAGCUAUGUACUACAACUGGAAAUGGUUGGUUGUGAGAGGUAACAGAAGACUUUAUUUAUAUAAAAAAUUGGAGAAGAUUGGAAAGGUAACCACAGUAGAAGUCGAUAAGCAGAUAUUCGAACAAAAUCUGUUUAAGCGCCAAUACACCUCGAAAAACAUGGGUGUUUCCAUUCGGAUUCGUGGAUUUCCGAACAUAGAAAAUGUUUUAAACCAAAUAACAAACGAAUGGAGAAACACCCAAGGUUUUCAAAUCAGCACUAAACCUGCCAGAAGACGAAGGCAUAGGUCAAAAUCGCGGCCCUGAUCCGAAAAUACCAAUGCAGUGACCGGGUACUCUGUACAAAGCAACACCGCUGGCACAGGAUCACAUACUUUGGGAGGGAACAGCAAUCACAUACAGAGACAAACUAACAGACCUCCAACACUUCAUGCAAACCAAAAAUACUCUGGGUCGUCAAUGGGAAAUGUUAACCAACCUACAUCAACUUCUUAUAAAACAACUCCUACACCAUCUGUAAACUGCAGCUACCCCGGUAUGUCGCAGACAAAUGUUCAAACACCAAGAUCCACUGGUCUUCAAGGAAACAACUCGCUCGCAGGAUCACAUACUUUAGGAGGAAAUAGCAACCGCGACUAUCUACCGUCAAGAUGCUCUUGUUAUAAAACAACAACAACACCGUCAGUAACCCAGAACCGUGCGUUGACGUGGAAGAUGUACGGCCCACCACCUAGAUCAAAUGAGUAUAAAGCUCCUACACCAUCAGUGAACCACAACUCCUCUUUGAUGUCCCAUCCAAACGAUCAUCAACCUAUAACUGAUAUUGUCAACUUUCCCCAACCAGAACUGCAACGGACCAAGAGAAAAGAUAACAACUGUGGAUGCUGCACCAUUCUCUGAUCUAGCAGAUAUACCGCUUGCCCUGAAGAAGCUGCAGGUGAAGUGUUACAGUUCAAUAAACACAAACAUGUAUGUGUAUGUGCGAUUGUAUCGGUUAUCAUUCCACUCGUAGCAUUCGAACACAUGACGUUUUGUUUGUAAGUCUUAUUUCCAGUUUUGAUCUCUUGACCAACAUGUUAUGCAUUAGUCAAAGCGGUUUAUUGUGUUUUUUCUAGGUCAUUGUGACUAAACAUAAUACACUUUAAUACCCUUCUGACGAGUGGUCAAAAUAUUUACUUAACAUCAACGUAUUACCUAUAUCCAGGAUGGUAGCAGUCAGGUGCUUCUGAUUACCUAAGACAAA
Long non-coding RNA from Mizuhopecten yessoensis (Yesso scallop), 1541 nucleotides. RefSeq lists it as uncharacterized. The transcript has 2 exons. The record is from RefSeq and is a predicted model, not a curated record. NCBI's taxonomy places the organism in Eukaryota, Metazoa, Mollusca, Bivalvia, Pectinida, Pectinidae.